GGGGGAAUAGCUCAGCUGGUAGAGCAGCGGACUCUUAAUCCGUUUGUCCGGGGUUCGAUCCCCCGUUCCCCCACCA
This 76-nucleotide transfer RNA is filed under the name Halothiobacillus sp. 28-55-5. RNAcentral's name for it is "tRNA-Lys". It matches the Rfam family "tRNA". From Rfam's summary of the family: Transfer RNA (tRNA) molecules are approximately 80 nucleotides in length. Their secondary structure includes four short double-helical elements and three loops (D, anti-codon, and T loops). Lineage: Bacteria; Pseudomonadati; Pseudomonadota; Gammaproteobacteria; Chromatiales; Halothiobacillaceae. RNAcentral also lists the same sequence under 5 other names. The record is from RNAcentral.